CGGGAGGCAGCAGUGGGGAAUUUUCCGCAAUGGGCGAAAGCCUGACGGAGCAAUACCGCGUGAGGGAAGACUGCCUAUGGGUUGUAAACCUCUUUUUUCAGGGAGGAAUCAAUGACGUGUACCUGAAGAAUAAGCAUCGGCUAACUCCGUGCCAGCAGCCGCGGUAAGACGGAGGAUGCAAGUGUUAUCCGGAAUCACUGGGCGUAAAGCGUCUGUAGGUGGUUUAAUAAGUCAACUGUUAAAUCUUGAGGCUCAACUUCAAAAUCGCAGUCGAAACUAUUAGACUAGAGUAUAGUAGGGGUAAAGGGAAUUUCCAGUGGAGCGGUGAAAUGCGUAGAGAUUGGAAAGAACACCGAUGGCGAAGGCACUUUACUGGGCUAUUACUGACACUCAGAGACGAAAGCUAGGGUAGCAAAUGGGAUUAGAUACCCCAGUAGUCCUAGCUGUAAACAAUGGAUACUAGAUGUUGAACAGAUCGACCUGUGCAGUAUCAAAGCUAACGCGUUAAGUAUCCCGCCUGGGAAGUAUGCUCGCAAGAGUGAAACUCAAAUGAAUUG
This 557-nucleotide ribosomal RNA is filed under the name uncultured bacterium. RNAcentral describes it as "bacterial SSU rRNA". It matches the Rfam family "Bacterial small subunit ribosomal RNA", at positions 342 to 912 of the family's 1533-position model. The record is from RNAcentral.